CGGACGGGUGAGUAACGCGUGGGGAACCUGCCCUGUACCGGGGGAUAGCAGCCGGAAACGGCUGAUAAUACCGCAUAAGCGCACGAAUGUAGCAUGACAUGAUGUGAAAAACUCCGGUGGUAUAGGAUGGACCCGCGUCUGAUUAGCCUGUUGGUGGGGUAAAAGCCUACCGAAGCGAAGAUCAGUAGCCGAGUUGAGAGACUGACCGGCCACAUUGGGACUGAGACACGGCCCAGACUCCUACGGGAGGCAGCAGUU
RNAcentral lists this ribosomal RNA (258 nucleotides) under uncultured bacterium. RNAcentral describes it as "partial 16S ribosomal RNA". It matches the Rfam family "Bacterial small subunit ribosomal RNA", at positions 99 to 355 of the family's 1533-position model. The record is from RNAcentral.